Molecule: long non-coding RNA, 344 nt
Organism: Hipposideros armiger (great roundleaf bat)
Lineage: Eukaryota; Metazoa; Chordata; Mammalia; Chiroptera; Hipposideridae
Exons: 3
Source: RefSeq, a predicted model, not a curated record
GGGGACGGGUGGGCGGACCUUCAUCAAAUAAGAGUGUCUGCACGACUUGCAAAGAGGGCGGGCUCUUGAAACUCCAGGUCAAUUCAGUUGGGCAGGGGUGACCCUGGAAAAUUCACUCAUUUCCUCCUCCUGUACACAAGAGAUGAGCACCUGGAAAUCAUAUGACACAGGAGCCAAUCUACCAUGAUAGGAAGAACUGAACUCAAAUAAAUCAAGGCCCAGCUGAUGGGCAGCAAAUUGAAAAGUUACCGGCUUCAGGAUCUAAUUUGAAAAGACAAGACAACUUUCAGAUCUGUAUUUCCAGUUGGCAUCUCUUUCCUAACCCUCAGACACGUUUACCCAGU